UUUCAGGUAUAGUCCCUGUGUGAUGUUGUCACCCUUGGUGGGAAUAGGUCGUUGACUACAGACAUCACCAACCAUUUAGUUGAGGAUCCUGCAUAGUCUACAUAAAGUAAAGGAGGAGAUGCACAUGAGGAUGUGCCAGAGGCGACUACUGCUGAUAACAUACCAUCAUUUCUUGGAUCUUCUCAUAUUGCUAGUACGAGAACGUUGUAGGCCACAUUGGUGGUGAGCGACCAAGAAAUGAUUCCCUUAAAGAUACAAAAGGUUCCAGGUAAUGAUAUUUUCUGUAAACAUCUUAGUGACAUUGCAUUGUAGAUAUUUGGGCCCACGAUACAUAAAAGGUGAAAUGACCAAGAAAAAAGGUUAAAAGAUGAAUUGACAAACCAAAUGGUUGGGUGGUUUAGAAAUGACACCUUUGACAAAACCAAGCUCCUUGAAAAAGAUGGCACAUAUCUAAAGUAUGUGAGGGACCAAUAUAGGACCCAUUUAGAGAGGAACCUAAAGCACGAGUGUCCCCCCAUGAUUCCAGAGAGGGAGUGGAAGGACCUGAUUUUGGAUGCCAAGGAGAGAAUUGAAAGGAAAAAAGGAAAUACACCACCAGAUGCCAG
This is a long non-coding RNA of Cryptomeria japonica (Japanese cedar), 605 nucleotides long. RefSeq lists it as uncharacterized. The transcript is spliced from 4 exons. NCBI's taxonomy places the organism in Eukaryota, Viridiplantae, Streptophyta, Pinopsida, Cupressales, Cupressaceae. The record is from RefSeq and is a predicted model, not a curated record.